GAAUGGAUAGCUAAUUCAGUCUGCCAUGGCCUUACAUCACCACCCAUGACAAAAUGCCCACCUCAAGAUCACUCACCCACCACAAUGACCCAGGGCAUGCAUGGUGGGUUGCGCUAUGCCACCAUGGUCUACAAUAAGCUUGAGUUAGGUGGUUUUAUGAAUGGUGAUUACAGAAUGGAUAGCUAAUUCAGUCUGCCAUGGCCUUACAUCACCACCCAUGACAAAAAGCCCACCUCAGGAUCACUCACCCACCACAAUGACCCAGGGCAUGCAUGGUGGGUUGCGCUAUGCCACCAUGGUCUAAAAUAAGCUUGAGUUAGGUGGUUUUAUGAAUGGUGAUUACAGAAUGGAUAGCUAAUUCAGUCUGCCAUGGCCUUACA
Molecule: long non-coding RNA, 380 nt
Organism: Eriocheir sinensis (Chinese mitten crab)
Lineage: Eukaryota; Metazoa; Arthropoda; Malacostraca; Decapoda; Varunidae
Exons: 2
Source: RefSeq, a predicted model, not a curated record